UCUCGGUCCUUGUACCACCGCCCGUCACACCAUGAGAGUUUGUAACACCCAAAGUCGGUGGGGUAUCCUUUUAGGAGCCAGCCGCCUAAGGUGGGACAGAUGAUUAGGGUGAAGUCGUAACAAGGUAGCCGUAGGAGAACCUGCGGCUGGAUCACCUCCUU
Molecule: ribosomal RNA, 161 nt
Filed under: Limosilactobacillus fermentum
Lineage: Bacteria; Bacillati; Bacillota; Bacilli; Lactobacillales; Lactobacillaceae
Description: Lactobacillus fermentum partial 16S ribosomal RNA
Rfam family: Bacterial small subunit ribosomal RNA
Source: RNAcentral